CGCUCUACUACUGUCCUCUGAAUUUUCCAUACCUCGUUCCGUUUCGAUCCUCUUUUCGACUUCGGUUCGUUCUUUACUAUUUUUCAUACUGUCACCGGAAGUUUUCGCCCUUCCGUAUUUUCUGGGUUCUGUCAUUCAGCUGUGGACUUUCGUUCUGUUAACAACUUCCAGUGCUCGCUUCGGCGGCCUGGCUAAGUUCGUCAUGUAGUCCCACUGUUUCCCUAACCCGAGAGGUCUCAUCUAGUUUUAACAACUUAGUAUAAUCUGUACUUUGUCCUCGGGUUUUGUAUCUGGUUCGUCACACUGUGCGUUGAGGUCAUUCUCCGCCAUGUGUUCCUUCACUCCAAGAUCAGGAGCAGCAACUUGUGUAGUGAAGUGAUGUGAAUAUGGACAAAUCUUCUGAGUGAGAAGUUCGCAGUCAGUGCUGUGAUUAUGUGUUUUAAUAAUAAGUCGGUACUUCAGUAAGUCUGUGUUUUAGAUUAUUAGUCCAAAGUUCUGAAUAUGUUUGCAAGUAGCAAAACGGAUCUGUUCAAGUCAUGUAGUCUUUUCGUUGAGACAUUUUGAGUUUGCGUUCACCUGGGUAUUGGACCAAUCUUGCCCAGUGUGUUUUAGUCAUACCUUGGGAGAGGUUAUCUUUGCACUCUUCAGUGAGUUAGUUAAGUUCUGUUGAUUUGUUUGAAUUUGUACGGUUCUUAUUCGAGCUGUUGUUAUUCUGUUGAAGCCAGUGCCCAUGGCGUGCCCGUGCUGAUUUUAAUUUAGUUCUGUUUGUGAGUACCGUUGGUUCGGUUUGUUGGUAUUUGUGAUUAUGUGUAUGCAUAUGAGUAUGGAUUUGUAUGGGCUUGAGUUUUGCCCUUUGUGUGAGUUCUGUGCUUGAGUUAAGUGUGAUCUGUCCGUUAUUAAAAUGGUUGUUUCUGUUAUUGUUAAA
Molecule: long non-coding RNA, 925 nt
Filed under: Thrips palmi
Lineage: Eukaryota; Metazoa; Arthropoda; Insecta; Thysanoptera; Thripidae
Description: uncharacterized LOC117648099
Source: RNAcentral